This 216-nucleotide ribosomal RNA is filed under the name Glomeromycotina sp. RNAcentral describes it as "partial small subunit ribosomal RNA". The stretch from base 40 to 216 matches the Rfam family "Eukaryotic small subunit ribosomal RNA", at positions 686 to 864 of the family's 1831-position model. Lineage: Eukaryota; Fungi; Glomeromycota. The record is from RNAcentral.
GGGUCAUUAGGUUGGUCGUGCCACCGGUACGUACUGGUCUCACUGAUUCCUCCUUCCUGAAGAACCGUAAUGCCAUUAAUUUGGUGUUGCGGGGAAACAGGACUGUUACUUUGAAAAAAUUAGAGUGCUUAAAGCAAGCUAACGCUUGAAUACAUUAGCAUGGAAUAAUGAAAUAGGACGAUCGAUCCUAUUUUGUUGGUUUCUAGGAUUGACGUA